This 902-nucleotide ribosomal RNA is filed under the name uncultured bacterium. Its description in RNAcentral is "bacterial SSU rRNA". It matches the Rfam family "Bacterial small subunit ribosomal RNA", at positions 33 to 929 of the family's 1533-position model. The record is from RNAcentral.
ACGCUGGCGGCAUGCCUUAGGUACCGAAUGCCAGUUACAGCACGGGGGCAACCCUGGUGGCGAGUGGCGAACGGGUGAGUAAUACAUCGGAACGUGUCCUGUAGUGGGGGAUAGCCCGGCGAAAGCCGGAUUAAUACCGCAUACGCUCUGCGGAGGAAAGCGGGGGCUCCUUCGGGACCUCGCGCUACAGGGGCGGCCGAUGGCAGAUUAGCUAGUUGGUGGGGUAAAGGCCUACCAAGGCGACGAUCUGUAGCUGGUCUGAGAGGACGACCAGCCACACUGGGACUGAGACACGGCCCAGACUCCUACGGGAGGCAGCAGUGGGGAAUUUUGGACAAUGGGCGCAAGCCUGAUCCAGCAAUGCCGCGUGUGUGAAGAAGGCCUUCGGGUUGUAAAGCACUUUUGUCCGGAAAGAAAACCUCAGCCCUAAUACGGCGGGGGGAUGACGGUACCGGAAGAAUAAGCACCGGCUAACUACGUGCCAGCAGCCGCGGUAAUACGUAGGGUGCAAGCGUUAAUCGGAAUUACUGGGCGUAAAGCGUGCGCAGGCGGUCCGCUAAGACAGAUGUGAAAUCCCCGGGCUUAACCUGGGAACUGCAUUUGUGACUGGCGGGCUAGAGUAUGGCAGAGGGGGGUAGAAUUCCACGUGUAGCAGUGAAAUGCGUAGAGAUGUGGAGGAAUACCGAUGGCGAAGGCAGCCCCCUGGGCCAAUACUGACGCUCAUGCACGAAAGCGUGGGGAGCAAACAGGAUUAGAUACCCUGGUAGUCCACGCCCUAAACGAUGUCAACUAGUUGUCGGGCCUUCAUUGGCUUGGUAACGUAGCUAACGCGUGAAGUUGACCGCCUGGGGAGUACGGUCGCAAGAUUAAAACUCAAAGGAAUUGACGGGGACCCGCACAAG